GCCGUCGUCGACCAGUGGAAGGUCCUUCUCAAAUGGUGUGUUCCACGUACUCCUGCAUACGAGAACGCUGGGGGUUCGAAUCCUCCCGACGGCA
Molecule: non-coding RNA, 94 nt
Organism: Mycena vulgaris
Lineage: Eukaryota; Fungi; Basidiomycota; Agaricomycetes; Agaricales; Mycenaceae
Source: the annotation of a GenBank genome assembly